UGCGCCGGCUGCCGCAACUCUUCUUCUCUGUGGGCCGCAACUCUUCCUCUCUGUGGGUGUUCCUGGAAUCCCUCUUCUAGUCUGCGGGGAGAGCAAAAUGGAAAGGAAUAGAGAAUACCCUUCAAUCCUCACCUUGAUCAGCUCCUCAUUGCCUAGGCACUGCUGGGACAAGCCUCAACUAUAGAUGUAGAGAAAAGCUCUGCUCUUGAGAAUCUCUUAGGAAUACAACCUGCCAAAUGGACUAUAGGAGAGACAGCAUCUUCCCACAACAGCAGGAGGGGACUGACUCUAUACACCUGGCUCUUGGGAGACUUCACAUUGGAGGGGAACUGGAUCUGGGUCUUAAGAAAGAAUUCCAGAUCCAGCCAUAUCCUGACUGCUAUAAGAAACAACCAGAUCCAGCUAUAUCCUGACUGCUAUAAGAAACAACCUGUGUUAACAAGGUCCCAUAGUAGCUACGUUUUAUGGAGAGGGUUAAAAAAAAAAAAAAAAGAAGAAUUUCGGUGGGCUGGCAAACUACAGCCUACCAGUUGGAUGGCCCUGUGGCCUGUUUUUGUAAAGUUUUAUUGGAACACAGCCACACUCACUUAUUACACAUCUAUGGAUGUUUUUGUGUUAUAACAGCAGAGUUGAAUAAAUGCAACAGAGAACAUAUGGUCUGUAAAGUCUAAAAUAUUUACUAUUAAUCCUUUACAGAAAAACUGCGCAUCCUUGUUCUAUACCCCAACAUUCAUCAUAAAGUGCCAAAGCCCUAGAUUUCAGACCCUCAAUCAUAGCUGGUCACUAGGUGAUUUCCCAUUUGUUCAACAAAUAUUUACUGAGAUUUCUUAUUUCUAACUAAAUCUUCAUUCAAUUUUCUCAUCUGUAACAUGGUAUAUAAUAGUAUCUACUUCACAGAGUUUUUGUAAGGAUUAUACAAAGUCUUUAACACAAUGCCUGACACAAAAUUUGAAAAAUGAUAGUUGCUAGCAGCAGCAGCAGCAGCAGCACCACCACCACCACCGUCAUCAUCAUCCUUUCCUGAUGUCCUAGGAAGAGAAGGCUCUCUCUGAUGACCACCUAAGUGAAAGGAGAGAACUCUAGCAUCCCUGAGGCUUGACUUCACACUUAGGAAAAAAGCUUUAUUUUGACUGCACUCAGACUGCAACCAUAAGUACAUAGGGAAUAGUCUUUUGAUAUGAAUGGCAGUUUACUCCACAGUCCUCUGACACCAGAGAUAUCAAGAACUCAAUACCCUUCCCAGAGUUCAUGAGGAAGACAAAUAUGACUGAAUUUAUAAAUACUUCUCUUUAGAACUUCAAGCUUGCUUGCAGCCCCAAACUCAAGCAACAACAUUAAAAGACAAUGUGAAAUUAAAUGAUUCCACGGACAAAUCACUACCCCCAUAUCAACUAUUUGCCCAAAUUUGGUAACAAAUAGUUUUUAAAAAGCCUAACAGCCUGACAUGUUUAUGUAUUUUUUUUUUUCUAAUUAAAUCCAACAAGUAAAUGAUGGGUGUCUAUUUUUCUCUUUUAUAGUGUUGGUCAUGUCUCUUUAACUUGUAGAGGAGGCAUCUAAGGAAAUAAGUAUGCUUUACGCUCUUUUGGGGGCCUUUCAAAAUUCUGGUGAAAAAAAGAUGAUUUAAAAUCAAGUGUCAAA
Long non-coding RNA from Pteropus alecto (black flying fox), 1638 nucleotides. RefSeq lists it as uncharacterized. The record is from RefSeq and is a predicted model, not a curated record. The transcript is spliced from 4 exons. Lineage: Eukaryota; Metazoa; Chordata; Mammalia; Chiroptera; Pteropodidae.